AUUAUUAUUCACAUUUUGUUUAAUUAUUGGAUAAAAGCAGGAAGAUGUGUGUGCUUUAUUUUUUCACGAAAAACUAUUUGACUGUACAUAGUCCGUGUAGAUAUUUGUAAACCUGAGUCUGAGAACGAUAUUGUAAUAUAAAUAUAAUUGCAUUGGCAUUUUCAAUGAAAGUACAUUUUGUACUCCAAGAAGUAGAAGAAUCUAAGCAACAGAACAGAAUUCAUUUGAUGCAUUGCUUUCUAGAUUAUAUAAUGGAUUCAUAGAUUGUCAUAUUGAUUUAUAUGCAUAUAAGGAGCAGCAGGCAAUAAUUAUUUUGUGAUGAGAGCUUGUUACCAUGGUUACCAAAUGAAAGGAAAGUACAGUAUUAUAAUCACUGGUGUACAUGUAGGUGCGGAUGUCAGGCAAAAAGAACUGGUAUCAAAGAACUGAAAAGUAAAGAAACAGAACCAAAGAACAUUCAUUUUUAAUUAAUACAAUAUUGAGCUCAAAGUCAAUCUAGUUGUCUUUCUUAAUCAUACAGGAUAUUUACAAAAAGCAGCUGCAUACACAUGCACCAGUAAUAUACAGCAGUGAAGACAAUUAAAUAUCUGUGUAUGGAGGUAUAGCAAUAGAAAUAUCUCAUACAUCAUAGGAAAAUAGAAUAUAGACAAUAGAAAUGGAGUAUGUCAAAGAGACAAAAAUAUGAAAAUAGAAUAUAGACAAUAGAAAUGGAGUAUGUCAAAGAGACACACAUAUGGAAAUAGAAUAUAGACAAUAAAAUUGGGGUAUGUCAAAGAGACAAACAUGAAAAUAGAAUAUAGACAAAAGAAAUGGGGUAUGUCAAAGAGACACACAUAUGAAAAUAGAAUAUAGACAAUAGAAAUGGGGUAUGUCGAAGAGACAAACAAAUGAAAAUAGAAUAUAGACAAUAGAAAUGUGGUACAAUGUAUGUCAAGGAGACAAAAAUAUGAAAAUAGAAGAGACAACAACUUAAUAAAAAAAAUUCUACUUUAUAUAAACAUUAUGGAGCACUUAUUGUUUUUUAUUUGUUUGAGCUUUUGAUUUUGCUAUGUAUUUUCUGUGGAAUUUGGUAUUUUGGGUUUUUUACUUUUUAAAGCAACAACUCAUCAUAAUGAAGUAUUCACACUCAAAAUGAGUUCCUGUCAGAAAAAAAAGAUAACAAAUUAAAGAAAAACAUAUUAAAAAACAUCAAAACGUUACCCUUAAAAACCUAUCGCAAAAAAAAAAAUACACAUAUAUACAAACCAUGUUUAGAAUCUAUGAAAAAAUAAAUGCAUUUGAACAAUUAAAAACAUAUAAAAAAUAUAUAUUUAGGACCAAGAUAAAAUCAUAUGAAAACAUAUGUUUGGGCCAAACAUAUGAAAACAUAUGUUUAGGACAAACAUAUGAAAACAUAUGUUUAGGCCAGGUAUGAAAACAUAUGAAAAACAUAUGUUUGUAAAAAACAUAUGAAAAACAUAUGUUUUUCAUAUGUUUACAUGUAUGAAAAACAUAUGUUUUUCAUAUGAUUUUAAAAACAUAUGUUUUUCAUAUGUU
Long non-coding RNA from Mytilus californianus (California mussel), 1536 nucleotides. RefSeq lists it as uncharacterized. The record is from RefSeq and is a predicted model, not a curated record. The transcript is spliced from 4 exons. NCBI's taxonomy places the organism in Eukaryota, Metazoa, Mollusca, Bivalvia, Mytilida, Mytilidae.